GUUUGAGCAUCCCUUCACAAUUUACCCAGAUCGUCUGUCAUCUUUACCAGCUAAAGCGGGGAAAAUGGACCUUUGACCAUUAGAAGCAGGAAACAUCUGCACCUUCCCCACUUUCAAUCCAAAUCCACGCUCGUGUUUUCAUAUGUUUUAUUAAACCGUGAGCCCUCAGAGGAUGAGGUUUUGCAGACUGGAGUUAGGCUGUUAUAUGAGCUAUUCAGGAUGUUAUUUGCAUCGACUGGAUAAAAGCCUGUGGCAGCUGAGCGUGCUGCAGAAGCGAGAGACUGACCGCCUGCAUCAGCCACCAGCCCAAGGAAUAACAUUAGUUCCAGCUUCACAAUGAGUUGUUUACUGGCCUUGGCUGCCUGUGGGAACAGCCAAGAAGAGCGGAGGAAAAGGAGAGACAAACACAAUGCGAGUGAGACACGUUAGGUGGGAGGCUGGGCUUUAAAAGCAGACUCGGAAUUUCAAACCUAUGGAACUGGAGAGGGCUGAAAAAGAAAUAAAAGGGCACCGGCUGCUCCACAGCAUAAACAAGCUGAGGCAAAUAGCCAUCCGCUUCGUUACUCCUGCUGCCGGAAGAUCCUCCUCCCUAGCUGAAGGGCUGAUAUUAAAGUACUUGGAAGACGGGGGAUGUCGCUACAAUAAAAGGCAAAUGGGAGCAAACCCUGUCAGCUACUCUGCUGAACUCCAUAACUCUGAGAAUAACAGGGUUACAUGAGUAAGCGACAGCUGCUGCAGGUUGGCUUGUACCUUCCCCACUACAAGAGAGAAUAUUCUCACCAUUACCACUUUAAACAGGCUGUGUAUUCUGUUGUGGUACCACUUCUGACAUGGCAAGAUACCUUCCUCCCCUCAUAUACUGCCCCCCAUUUUAGAGUUAGGUUCUGGCCUGCCUGAAAUGCAGAACAGUAAAGCAAUUUUCUUUAUAUUCACUUAAACUCAGCAUUUUAAAAUGUAUUGCUAGAUUUUUUUUCUCCCCCCAGCAAGGCAACAGCAGUGGUGAAUGUGGCGUGCAUGAAGAGCAUCCUACUGCUUUAAUCCUUAGUGAAAAGGAAAGAAAGUGACUUUUACGUUCAGAAAACUAAAUCUGUAGAUUCAUGCUGCAGAAUUUAAAGCACAUGGCUGAGUUUCAAAGCAGCUUGGCAGCCUGUUUAAACACCUCAGUGUUAGAUAGGUAAACAACACAGGCUGAUAUUUUAAAGACCAUAACUUAGCUAGACAAUUGCUGGCAGGCAAUUCCUAUAGACUUAUACACCAGAAAAACUGGUAUUUGACCUUGUGGCUGUCUGCGGCAGAGC
This 1298-nucleotide long non-coding RNA is filed under the name Bubo bubo (Eurasian eagle-owl). RNAcentral describes it as "lncRNA (ENSBOBG00000000671.1)". Lineage: Eukaryota; Metazoa; Chordata; Aves; Strigiformes; Strigidae. The record is from RNAcentral.